RNAcentral lists this ribosomal RNA (495 nucleotides) under uncultured bacterium. RNAcentral's name for it is "partial 16S ribosomal RNA". It matches the Rfam family "Bacterial small subunit ribosomal RNA", at positions 30 to 507 of the family's 1533-position model. The record is from RNAcentral.
UGAACGCUGGCGGCGUGCCUAAUACAUGCAAGUCGAGCGAACGGACGAGAAGCUUGCUUCUCUGAUGUUAGCGGCGGACGGGUGAGUAACACGUGGAUAACCUACCUAUAAGACUGGGAUAACUUCGGGAAACCGUAGCUAAUACCGGAUAAUAUUUUGAACCGCAUGGUUCAAAAGUGAAAGACGGUCUUGCUGUCACUUAUAGAUGGAUCCGCGCUGCAUUAGCUAGUUGGUAAGGUAACGGCUUACCAAGGCAACGAUGCAUAGCCGGCCUGAGAGGGUGAUCGGCCACACUGGAACUGAGACACGGUCCAGACUCCUACGGGAGGCAGCAGUAGGGAAUCUUCCGCAAUGGGCGAAAGCCUGACGGAGCAACGCCGCGUGAGUGAUGAAGGUCUUCGGAUCGUAAAACUCUGUUAUUAGGGAAGAACAUAUGUGUAAGUAACUGUGCACAUCUUGACGGUACCUAAUCAGAAAGCCACGGCUAACUACGUG